CCUGGUGCGGUGAUGAUAAUACAGGAUCUCAUCUGAAACUGAUGAUGAAUACCUUAAUGCAUAAAUGUCUUUCGCUCCCAUCUGAGUCACCAUU
Molecule: small nucleolar RNA, 94 nt
Filed under: [Torrubiella] hemipterigena
Lineage: Eukaryota; Fungi; Ascomycota; Sordariomycetes; Hypocreales; Clavicipitaceae
Description: Torrubiella hemipterigena Small nucleolar RNA snR60/Z15/Z230/Z193/J17
Rfam family: Small nucleolar RNA snR60/Z15/Z230/Z193/J17
About the family: The members of this family belong to the C/D class of snoRNAs which contain the C (UGAUGA) and D (CUGA) box motifs. Most of the members of the box C/D family function in directing site-specific 2'-O-methylation of substrate RNAs.
Source: Rfam by way of RNAcentral